RNAcentral lists this ribosomal RNA (433 nucleotides) under uncultured bacterium. RNAcentral's name for it is "partial 16S ribosomal RNA". It matches the Rfam family "Bacterial small subunit ribosomal RNA", at positions 29 to 507 of the family's 1533-position model. The record is from RNAcentral.
AACGAACGCUGGCGGCAUGCCUAACACAUGCAAGUCGAACGAGACCUUCGGGUCUAGUGGCGCACGGGUGCGUAACGCGUGGGAACCUGCCCUUAGGUUCGGAAUAACUCCCCGAAAGGGGUGCUAAUACCGGAUAAUGUCUUCGGACCAAAAAUUUAUCGCCUUUGGAUGGGCCCGCGUUGGAUUAGCUAGUUGGUAGGGUAAAAGCCUACCAAGGCGACGAUCCAUAGCUGGUCUGAGAGGAUGAUCAGCCACACUGGGACUGAGACACGGCCCAGACUCCUACGGGAGGCAGCAGUGGGGAAUAUUGGACAAUGGGCGAAAGCCUGAUCCAGCAAUGCCGCGUGAGUGAUGAAGGCCUUAGGGUUGUAAAGCUCUUUUACCCGGGAUGAUAAUGACAGUACCGGGAGAAUAAGCGCCGGCUAACUCCGUG